Long non-coding RNA from Octopus bimaculoides (California two-spot octopus), 349 nucleotides. The record is from RefSeq and is a predicted model, not a curated record. Lineage: Eukaryota; Metazoa; Mollusca; Cephalopoda; Octopoda; Octopodidae.
ACCUACGACAGUUAUUAAAUUGACUAGGACUACUGUAUGCGAUGAAUAUCCAAUACCAAACAAUCUUAAUCGCCAUAUUUAAACAGCAUUAAACUUUGGCAAGCUUAUACCUAUUCUGAGUUACUUGAAAGGUUAAUCGAAAACAUAGAUUACCAUGCUACUCAUAAACUUUCUCGGCAGUUCAAUUAUUUCGUGAAAAAAAUACCACCAAAGCAACUUAAACCAUCCAAAGGACAGGUGCAGGAGUGGCUGUGUGGUAAGUAGCUAGCUUACCACUUCCGGUUUUGCUCACUGCACUUGUGCGUCAGACUUGCUCCUUGCCGCCAACCAAGGUAGACAUGAGUUUGGC